UGGGCGUAAGGGCUCGCAGGCGGUUUCUUAAGUCUGAUGUGAAAGCCCCCGGCUCAACCGGGGAGGGUCAUUGGAAACUGGGGAACUUGAGUGCAGAAGAGGAGAGUGGAAUUCCACGUGUAGCGGUGAAAUGCGUAGAGAUGUGGAGGAACACCAGUGGCGAAGGCGACUCUCUGGUCUGUAACUGACGCUGAGGAGCGAAAGCGUGGGGAGCGAACAGGAUUAGAUACCCUGGUAGUCCACGCCGUAAACGAUGAGUGCUAAGUGUUAGGGGGUUUCCGCCCCUUAGUGCUGCAGCUAACGCAUUAAGCACUCCGCCUGGGGAGUACGGUCGCAAGACUGAAACUCAAAGGAAUUGACGGGGGCCCGCACAAGCGGUGGAGCAUGUGGUUUAAUUCGAAGCAACGCGAAGAACCUUACCAGGUCUUGACAUCCUCUGACAAUCCUAGAGAUAGGACGUCCCCUUCGGGGGCAGAGUGACAGGUGGUGCAUGGUUGUCGUCAGCUCGUGUCGUGAGAUGUUGGGUUAAGUCCCGCAACGAGCGCAACCCUUGAUCUUAGUUGCCAGCAUUCAGUUGGGCACUCUAAGGUGACUGCCGGUGACAAACCG
This 609-nucleotide ribosomal RNA is filed under the name Bacillus subtilis. RNAcentral's name for it is "bacterial SSU rRNA". It matches the Rfam family "Bacterial small subunit ribosomal RNA", at positions 555 to 1165 of the family's 1533-position model. Lineage: Bacteria; Bacillati; Bacillota; Bacilli; Caryophanales; Bacillaceae. The record is from RNAcentral.